RNAcentral lists this long non-coding RNA (1116 nucleotides) under Pan troglodytes (chimpanzee). Its description in RNAcentral is "lincRNA". Lineage: Eukaryota; Metazoa; Chordata; Mammalia; Primates; Hominidae. The record is from RNAcentral.
GGAAGAACGGCACUUCUGACAUCAGAGGCUCCAGCUGAAAGGUUCCAAAUCUAGGAGCUGGAGUCCAUCACUCACAGGAAGAGAAGAUUAGGACACAGAGAUACCAGAGAGGUCGUUCACAGAGGAAAGACCAUGUGAAGACGCAGUGAGAAGGUGGCCAUAUUCAAGCUGAGGAGAGAGGCCUCAGAAGAAACCAAUACUGCCAACGCCUUGGUCUUGGACUUCCAGCCUCCAGAACUUGGACUCUACCUUCCUUCCCCUGAUUCUCAUGAGAAUCUGAUCAUUGCUAAAGUGGGCAAGGUCCUGGAUCAGAAGAUGCCUGACAAGAGGCCACUAUCAGCAGCAACAGCACAGUGGGGACAAACCUGAGACCUUGAUGGACCGUGGACACCAGCAGGAGAGACAGAGGAACUUGAAGUCUAAAUGGGCAGACAAGACCAACAUACACAAAGCAGAGAGUGGCACAAGAGCCAUGUCUGAUGCAACAGUGACUCAGGAGGAUCACUCUGACUCAGAAUGGCCAAGCAAAGGUUAGCGUGUUAAGUCUCUGAAGCUGAUUAACGGCUUAACUCAAGUUUUCGCACCUGCAGACCAGUGACCCCACCCCCGCACCCCCCCGCAAGGCAUCUGUUUGACAUCUCUUUAAUUUUAUUAGUGGCUUAUGGACAAAAUCACUUAACUUAAACUUUUUCAAGUGUAAGUUAUUUGGAUUCACAAGAGCAUUUUUCUCCCUGUUAUAAAUCAAUGAACCCAGUUAAGAUUAACUGCCUACAUGUGAGCUUCAAAAGAUCUUCUAUGGCCAGGCAAAGUUGAAAGAAACACAUAAUUCCAUAACAUGCUAAACACAAGUUGAUCAAAGUUUUUGGAGCUGGUUACUUAAUGCUGUACUUCCUCAUUCUCAAACAAUCUGAUUUCAAGUAGUUUGUGUCUAAAACACAUAUUACUAGACUGCAAACACUCAUCCUUUGGAAGAAAAAUCAUUUCUGUACCUUAACUGGUCAAAAUCUAUGUUUCAACAGACCUAAACUAAACUCUGGGCUAAACAUUCCUGAACCUAAUUUGUGAAAUUCCAUAAUGUUUGGAGAUUAAAGCAAAAAGAAAUGAAAAUAAAAGAAA